CCCUUGCUUUAUCCAGGCAAAUCCCUGUCGA
RNAcentral lists this non-coding RNA (31 nucleotides) under Mus musculus (house mouse). Lineage: Eukaryota; Metazoa; Chordata; Mammalia; Rodentia; Muridae. The record is from RNAcentral.